CCUACGGGUGGCUGCAGUGAGGAAUAUUGGUCAAUGGACGAGAGUCUGAACCAGCCAAGUAGCGUGAAGGAUGACUGCCCUAUGGGUUGUAAACUUCUUUUAUAUGGGAAUAAACUGUUCCACGUGUGGGAUUUUGUAUGUACCAUAUGAAUAAGGAUCGGCUAACUCCGUGCCAGCAGCCGCGGUAAUACGGAGGAUCCGAGCGUUAUCCGGAUUUAUUGGGUUUAAAGGGUGCGUAGGUGGAGUGUUAAGUCAGUUGUGAAAGUUUGCGGCUCAACCGUAAAAUUGCAGUUGAAACUGGCAGGCUGGAGUAGAGGAGAGGUGGGCGGAAUUCGUGGUGUAGCGGUGAAAUGCUUAGAUAUCACGCAGAACCCCGAUUGCGAAGGCAGUUCACUGGACUGCAACUGACACUGAGGCUCGAAAGUGUGGGUAUCAAACAGGAUUAGAUACCCCUGUAGUC
Molecule: ribosomal RNA, 460 nt
Filed under: uncultured bacterium
Lineage: Bacteria
Description: partial 16S ribosomal RNA
Rfam family: Bacterial small subunit ribosomal RNA
Source: RNAcentral